AGUGAACGCUGGCGGUGGGCCUAACACAUGCAAGUCGAACGAACACACAGUAAGAGCUUGCCCUUACGGGUGGCGAGUGACGGGCGGGUGAGGCGUACAUAGGAAUCUAAUUUUUCGGGGGGGAUAACGUGGGGCCGCUUACGAUACUACCGCAUACGUCCUACGGGAGAAAGCAAGAGAUCUUCACACCUUGGGCGAUAGUAUGAGCCGGUGUCGGAUUAGCUAGUUGGCGGGGUAAAGGCCCACCAAGGCAACGAUGCGUAGCUGGCCUGAGAGGAUGAUCAGCCACACUGGAACUGAGACACGGUCCAGACUCCUACGGGAGGCAGCAGUGGGGAAUAUUGGACAAUGGGCGCAAGCCUGAUCCAGCCAUGCCGCGUGAGUGAAGAAGGUCUUCGGGUUGUAAAGCCCUUUUGUUGGGAAAGAAAAGCUGUAGGAGUAAACCUCGCUGUUCUGACGGUACCUAAAGAGAAAGCCCCGGCUAACUUCGUG
RNAcentral lists this ribosomal RNA (492 nucleotides) under uncultured bacterium. RNAcentral's name for it is "partial 16S ribosomal RNA". It matches the Rfam family "Bacterial small subunit ribosomal RNA", at positions 29 to 507 of the family's 1533-position model. The record is from RNAcentral.